CCUACGGGUGGCAGCAGUGAGGAAUAUUGGUCAAUGGCCGUAAGGCUGAACCAGCCACGUCGCGUGCCGGAAGAAGGAUCUCUGGUUUGUAAACUUCUUUUAUAGGGGAAUAAAGGUAUCCACGUGUGGAUAUUUGCAUGUACCCUAUGAAUAAGCAUCGGCUACCUCCGUGACAGACGCCGCGGUAAUACGGAGGAUGCGAGCGUUAUCCGGAUUUAUUGGGUUUAAAGGGUGCGUAGGUGGUUUUUUAAGUCAGCUGUGAAAGUUUGUGGCUCAACCAUAAAAUUGCCGUUGAAACUGGAAGACUUGAGUGUGUUUGAGAUAGGCGGAAUGCGUGGUGUAGCGGUGAAAUGCAUAGAUAUCACGCAGAACUCCGAUUGCGAAGGCAGCUUACUAAGCCAUAACUGACACUGAAGCACGAAAGCGUGGGGAUCAAACAGGAUUAGAUACCCGUGUAGUC
RNAcentral lists this ribosomal RNA (460 nucleotides) under uncultured bacterium. Its description in RNAcentral is "partial 16S ribosomal RNA". It matches the Rfam family "Bacterial small subunit ribosomal RNA", at positions 338 to 795 of the family's 1533-position model. The record is from RNAcentral.